AGUGAACGCUGGCGGUAGGCCUAACACAUGCAAGUCGAACGGCAGCACAGGAGAGCUUGCUCUCUGGGUGGCGAGUGGCGGACGGGUGAGGAAUACAUCGGAAUCUACCUUUUCGUGGGGGAUAACGUAGGGAAACUUACGCUAAUACCGCAUACGACCUUCGGGUGAAAGCAGGGGACCUUCGGGCCUUGCGCGGAUAGAUGAGCCGAUGUCGGAUUAGCUAGUUGGCGGGGUAAAGGCCCACCAAGGCGACGAUCCGUAGCUGGUCUGAGAGGAUGAGCAGCCAAACUGGAACUGAGACACGGUCCAGACUCCUACGGGAGGCAGCAGUGGGGAAUAUUGGACAAUGGGCGCAAGCCUGAUCCAGCCAUACCGCGUGGGUGAAGAAGGCCUUCGGGUUGUAAAGCCCUUUUGUUGGGAAAGAAAAGCAGCCAGUUAAUACCUGGUUGUUCUGACGGUACCCAAAGAAUAAGCACCGGCUAACUUCGUGCCAGCCGCCGCAGUAA
RNAcentral lists this ribosomal RNA (506 nucleotides) under uncultured bacterium. RNAcentral's name for it is "partial 16S ribosomal RNA". It matches the Rfam family "Bacterial small subunit ribosomal RNA", at positions 29 to 523 of the family's 1533-position model. The record is from RNAcentral.